Long non-coding RNA from Xenia sp. Carnegie-2017, 2569 nucleotides. RefSeq lists it as uncharacterized. Lineage: Eukaryota; Metazoa; Cnidaria; Anthozoa; Malacalcyonacea; Xeniidae. The transcript has 3 exons. The record is from RefSeq and is a predicted model, not a curated record.
GAACAAGUUUAAAUACCUCUCAACACCACUCAACAGGGUGUGCAAAUGCGCUCAACAUGUUGAGUCCAAAAUGUUGAGUGAACAUGUUGAGCGCGUUUGCACGUAGGUUAAUAAUUAUAUUGAUCACACUUGUUUUGAUGUAUGCGAUACAUGCCUGCACAAAGGAUGUGCAUUAAUUGAAUCGGAGCAGCGUGAAUUCCCCGACUGUCAUAAGUCUUGCCGAUCAAGUGCAUGUUACAACCUACAUAAAAAACAACGCAGAUUAAAAGGACAUGAUCUUCCCUUAAAAUAUGAAAGCUCGUAUAAAUGCCGUGCAUACAAUGUCAGUGUCGACAGAAAUAGAAAAGAUAAACACAAGUGCGGAGAAUUUAAGUGCCAUAUCUCCAAACAGCUUGUUGUUAACGGAUAUUUAUGUUUUAUUCAACCCGAACCAGCAAAAAAGCCAAAUGUUAAUCUCAUUUUUUACGAUUUAGAAAUAAAUUUUACAAGCGGAGAGCACAUUGUGAAUUUUGAAGUUUUACAUAAUGCUUCAGCUGACGAACAUGUUUUCAAAGGAUACAAUGCAUUAAAUGAUUUUUGUUAGUUUUUGUUUUCAAGAGAGCAUACAGGCUAUGCUGCAAUUGCGCACAAUGCAAAACGAUUGACGCCGUUCUCAUUCAAAAGUGGCUCAUACAGUAUCGGCCGACAGCAGACAUGCAUGUCAUUCAUUCAGGUCUGAAAGUAAUGCAAUUAUUUUUAAAGGAUUACCAAAUCACACUAUUCGAUUCGUCAAAUUUCCUAAGUACGCCUCUUUCUAAUUUACCGCGAACGUUUGGAUUGAAUCUGUCGAUGUAUUCGAAAGGCGAUUUCCCAUUUAAAUUCAACACUCGAGAAAAUCAAAACUACAUUUGGCCGAUUCCAGCUCUAGAAUAUUAUAGCCUCGACACAAAGACUAGAUGAAAAAGAGAUGAACUAAUUGUAUGGCAUCAGAAUUUAGUUAAUGAGGGUAUGGAAUUCAGAAAGCUGUUCAUAGCAGAGACUACCAUAGAUCCGUUUUGUUACUGUACAAUUGCCUCUACAGUCAUGGCUGUAUUUCGUUGAAAUCAUUUAAAAGAAAAAAAUCAUAAGUAUUGUACCUAAGAAUAUGUAUCGCGAAAACAACAAGCCGUAUUCGAACAGUUCCAUUGAGUGGUUGCAGUUAGUUUCUUUUCAAACAAAAAGCAAUAGCAAGCACGCCCAACUCUACGGGGGUGAGAAAGUUAUUUUUGAUCCAUUGUUAGGUGAAAAUUAUUUCUUCAACAGAUUUUGCGUAGACACUAAUACUGUCUAUGAGUUUAUGGUAAAGUUUAUUACGGCUGCACUUUGUGCCUUGAUUUGAACGGUGAAAAUCCUUAUCACAGAGGGACAACGCUAACAGACGUGUACAAUCAAACCAUUGAGCGUGAGAAAAGAUUAUUAGAGUUAAGGUAUAACGUGAAAACAAUAUGGGAGCAUGAUUUCAAGCGAUUGAGACAGACAUCGCAAAUGCAGCAUUUUUUAAACACACACGAAGUCAUAACAGACCUAAACACGACUGAUAGUUUUUUUGGAAGGAAAGUUGAAGGCUUUAAGUUGUUUCGUAAGGCCGAAGAAAACGAAAAAAUUUUUAUUACGAUUUUACAAGUCUUAACACGUUUGUUUUGAAAAAUCGGCGUUAUCAUACAAGUCACCCAACAAUUAUUCGCAAAAAUUUUGAAGACAUUUUUAAUUACUUUUGUUUGAUUAAGUGUCGCGUUCUACCCCCGAAAAGCUUCACAUUCCUGUCCUCCCCGUGAAAGUUAAUGGUAAUAUAAUGUGUAAGCGAUGUGCUGCAACUGUCUCAUUUAGAAAACAAGCGUGCGUUUUGGGGGGACAUUUAGUACUAUUGAAAUGACUAAGGCAAAAUUUUAGAGAUACAUGAAAUCUGGCAUUUUGAAAAAGGUCUGACAGGUUAUUUACCGAAUGAGUCAAUUUCUUUUUGCGAGUGAAGCAAGAAGCUUCCGAUUGGCCGAGCUGGAUUUCCUCAGAAACAGACCAGGCAAAAUAGAUCAUUGACUACCUAAAGCAUGAGGGAAUUCUAUUACGUAGGCGAAAAUUCAAAAAAAUACAGGGUUAAAGGUACUAGCAAAGCUUUGUUUAAGGCCUCUUUUACACUAUACCGGAUUGCAGGAUUGCAGGAAAUUAACAAGUUAAUUGAGGAAACCGACUCCGAAGAAGAAGCGCAAAGCAUUUCCGAACGACAAUCCGAUAUGGAAUUUCAUGACAACAGUGAUCUUUCUGAUAACGAACCUUCAUUUUACCAACGGAUUGAUCAUCAACUGUAACAUCGACAGAGAGACGAGUUUCAUACAUUUCUUCACUGGAUCUUGAUGACAGAGACGGCAGGGACAGCGACGACGACAGAGACAGUGAACAUGGUAGGGACAGAGCAACGACGACAGAGACAGUGAAGACGGCAGGGACAGCGACGACGACAGAGACAGUAAAGACGGCAUGGACAGCGAUGACGACAGAGACAGUAAAGACGGCAGAGACAGUAAAGACGGCAUGGACAGCGACGACGACAGAGACA